AAUAAAGUGCCUGAAAUAGGAUUAUUCUGAUAGGAUAAAAUAUAUAGUUAAAUACUAUCUUUAUUA
Molecule: transfer RNA, 66 nt
Filed under: Dahlica ochrostigma
Lineage: Eukaryota; Metazoa; Arthropoda; Insecta; Lepidoptera; Psychidae
Description: tRNA-Ile
Source: RNAcentral